UCCAUUUCUCUCGCUCUGGCGAUGGCGACGGCGACGGACCGACUUCUGCGGAGACGGCGCGGCGAGGCGGGGCAGGUGCUGCAGAGGAUGGAGGACGCCGGAGCAGAGCACGACAGCUCCCGCCUUCGCUGCUGUCCGCGCGCGCCCGCGUGCUCGCCUCCGUCCGCGCCGGAGAGCUGCUGUCCGCGCGCGCCUCGCCUCCGUCCGCGCCGGAGCGCUGCUGUCCGCGCGCGGCUCACCUCCGCCCGCGUCCUGCCGCGUCCCAACCGCGCCGGGAGACCGCCUCUGCCUGCCGCGCGCGCUGUACGCGUCCGAGUCUCUGACGUCCAACCGCGCCGGGAGACCGCCUCUGCCUGCCGCGCGCGCUACAAUGAAACCAUCCCGGCCCGAAUUGGAGUUCGAUGCUAUAAAUUGAAUUGUUAUUGGCCGGAAUCGUGAACCAGGCCAGCGCCACCAGCGAGCAAUGCACCGUCGCUUGGGGUCAAAGCUGUUUUGUUGGCUGCUGGCUUCUUGUGCUGUUAUAGUUCGCUACAGACAGGUACAUAAGUUCCCUACAGCUACAAGUAUGGUACCAUAAUGUGUCAUCUAUUCGAUUUUGAGGUUUGGUAUUGAUUCAUUGAUCCCCUUUCCUAGGAUUCAUUAUUGGAAAUUGAUCUUGGGCUAUGGAACUAAGAUGAUCUACUCAAAAAGUUUUCUUACCACUAUAUCUUUUUUAUGUGCUAAAUCACUGAUUAAUUACUACACUUAGCAAGAAUUUCCUUUACAAACAAAGCUAGCGUUCGAGGGUGUGGAGGAGGUGAAACACAUGGGGUCACCAUCAGCCUUUCCCUCUAGAUCUGGUGCGUGUAAUUUAACCUGGAUAUUCAGAGACGUAUUGAAAGGAAAACAAUUUGGACCUUAGUUGUAUAUUUGAUGAAGCUAUCUAAUUUGGACUUGAAAUUACACUGUAAAAUUUCCUUUCAACUGCUAACUCAAUUUACAAUUUUCUGAACUUUACUUCUGCCACCAUAUGCUCCCAGUCAUCCCCGCCACAUGUACGUCGCUGGUUCAUCCUGAUGCUUGUCAUCCUCAUUGCGACUGCCGUAGUUUGGCACCAGGCUACCUACCGGCGACGUUGCCCCGCAUCCCGUUGCCAGCUACUGCUCCUUACGGGUCCGCGAGUACCUGCAUGAUUGGAUGCCUUACGGGCACGCACGCUCCUUCCUGAUCUGAUUUGUUCUCAUGGGAAAUCACUUCCUGCCAAUUCCUCAAAGUUCACAAACAGUUUUUAUUUCAUGGAUUUAUUUUUGGCAUUGACUGCUGCACAUUUAGAUAGAUGCAUAUAAUUUGCAUGUCAUGAAGGGAAAAAGACAUCACUGAGCCGUUUGUUUCUAAUUGCGAGGUUAAAUAAUUUUGUGUGUUCUAACUCUAUGGGAUAAUCUGAAGUUAUUUGGCUCAUCGUUGUGCCACAAGUUUCUAACAUCACCGUGCCUGUACACCAUCGACUUCACUGGAAAUAUGUCUGCACGUACUUCAUCGUCCGCCGGAACUUUGUCUGACCUGAGAACUGGAACUUUUUUGGAUUUUGUAAGGCUGCGGAUAACAAGCCGGUGAGAGCUUAUGGUUCAGUUAGAACCUACCUCUUUCUCUAUCCUAAUGUGAUUUAUAAUGUUUUAUUCUGGUGAGCAUAUGAGGCUGCAGUACUAGGUUUAUGCUCAGAAGUUAAAUUGCUUGCUGAUUAAUUUGCGUCAUAUUAUUCACAUCAAACAGCAGCAGUUUUCUUAUCCAAGUUCAUUUGAUUUUGUAGGCAGGGGGAUUCAAUACCAAGAUUUAUGAUUUGGCAUAAGUGAGAUGACAUAUAGUCAAUGUUUUGAAACUGAUGUAUCUGUGACAAAAAUAUUGAAGUUAUGGACAUGUUGAUAAUUGGUUAUCAAGCAAAGGCAUUUCCUACAUAUUGAGGGGUAUGCGUGAUAUCUUUUCUAAGGCCAUGAAAUAUUUUCAGGAAGCUUUAGAAUGCUGGUGGCUGAUGGGGAUUAUAAGAACUUAAAUGCCAGAGAAGUCGUAUUGUAUCAGGACUUAAGCUAAUCGUCCAGAAACCUAAUUCAGGGCAUCGUCCAGACACCCUACAGGGGUGAUGUUGGGUGUCUGGACGAUGCCCUGAGGACCUUCUGACCGAGCUUGGCAUCCUGUAGGCAUCACUCUCCCCGAGGCUACCACACCUUGCUGGCGUGCGGUCCAUCAUGGUGGCAGUGGAUGGGCUCUGGGCGGUCAUCAUGGCGGAGAUGAGGCGGAUCUUACGCAAUAUUGUACGUGUUGUCACGGGGUUGUACGUGAUGCGAUCCCGUUGCAACGCACGGGCACUUUUGCUAUAUAUUCUAAAUCACCGUUGUGG
Molecule: ribosomal RNA, 2371 nt
Filed under: Triticum aestivum (bread wheat)
Lineage: Eukaryota; Viridiplantae; Streptophyta; Magnoliopsida; Poales; Poaceae
Description: partial small subunit ribosomal RNA
Source: RNAcentral